GAGUUUGAUCCUGGCUCAGGAUGAACGCUAGCGGCAGGCUUAACACAUGCAAGUCGAGGGGUAACAGGAUUUAGUUUACUAGAUUGCUGACGACCGGCGCACGGGUGAGUAACGCGUAUACAAUUUGCCUUUUACUGGAGGAUAGCCAAGAGAAAUUUUGAUUAAUACUCCAUAGUAUUAUUUGAUCACCUGGUCGAAUAAUUAAAGCUCCGGCGGUAAAAGAUGAGUAUGCGUCCUAUUAGCUUGAUGGUAAGGUAACGGCUUACCAUGGCAACGAUAGGUAGGGGUCCUGAGAGGGAGAUCCCCCACACUGGUACUGAGACACGGACCAGACUCCUACGGGAGGCAGCAGUGAGGAAUAUUGGGCAAUGGAGGCAACUCUGACCCAGCCAUGCCGCGUGCAGGAAGACGGCCCUAUGGGUUGUAAACUGCCUUUAUACAGGAAGAAACUUAUCCACGUGUGGAUAACUGACCGUACUGUAAGAAUAAGGACCGGCUAACUCCGUGCCAGCAGCCGCGGUAAUAC
Molecule: ribosomal RNA, 526 nt
Filed under: uncultured bacterium
Lineage: Bacteria
Description: bacterial SSU rRNA
Rfam family: Bacterial small subunit ribosomal RNA
Source: RNAcentral